Molecule: RNA transcript, 1950 nt
Organism: Juglans microcarpa x Juglans regia
Lineage: Eukaryota; Viridiplantae; Streptophyta; Magnoliopsida; Fagales; Juglandaceae
Source: RefSeq, a predicted model, not a curated record
UUUUUUUUGUCACCUCUAAAAUUAUUUUCUUCUACCCUAUUCUGUACCGUCCAGAAGCAGCCUUCCAGAAUCCAGAUUCAUCACUUCCAGUGCGAGGCUUCAAGCUCCCACCACAGGUCAUCGUCUGGUCCUUCGCAACACCUCAGUAUCUCGGUCCGGUCCGUCGCAGGCUCGCAGCACCUCUAGGCUCUUGCCAUCAGCCAUGGCAACGCUGGCUGAUUCUUUUCUUGCAGACCUUGAUGAACUAUCUGACAAUGAAGCUGUUGUUAUUGAGGAAGAAGAUGUCGAUGCUGGAAAUAUGGAAGAAGAUGUUGAUGGGGAAAUGGCAGACAUAGAAAAUCUUAACUAUGAUGAUCUGGAUAGUGUUUCGAAAUUGCAGAAAACCCAGAGAUAUGUUGAUAUUAUGCAGAAAGUGGAAGACGCGCUCCAAAAAGGCUCUGAUAUCUCAAAUCUUGGAAUGGUUUUGGAAGAUGAUCCUGAAUAUCAGCUGAUUGUGGACUGUAAUGCUUUGUCAGUUGAUAUUGAGAAUGAAAUCAUUAUUAUCCACAAUUUUAUUCGUGACAAGUACAGGUUGAAAUUUCCGGAGCUUGAAUCACUUGUGCAUCACCCAAUUGAUUAUGCGCGCGUUGUUAAGAAAAUUGGGAAUGAAAUGGAUUUGACCCUGGUUGAUCUGGAAGGGCUAUUACCGUCAGCUAUUAUUAUGGUGGUGUCAGUUACAGCAUCGACCACAAGUGGCAAGCCUCUUCCUGAAGAAAUUCUUGAUAAGACCAUUGAUGCAUGUGAUCGAGCUCUUACUCUAGAUGCAGCAAAGAAAAAAGUCCUUGACUUUGUAGAAAGUCGAAUGGGAUAUAUUGCACCAAAUCUUUCUACUAUUGUUGGGAGUGCUGUUGCAGCUAAACUUAUGGGGACUGCUGGUGGUCUUGCUGCAUUAGCUAAGAUGCCUGCAUGUAAUGUUCAGCUUCUUGGUGCUAAGAAAAAGAACCUUGCUGGGUUUUCCACUGCAACAUCACAAUUUCGUGUAGGGUAUAUUGAGCAAACGGAGAUAUUUCAAUCUACACCCCCUUCUCUGAGGAUGCGUGCUUGCCGGCUCUUGGCUUCCAAGUCAACACUUGCAGCAAGAGUAGAUUCCACAAGAGGAGAUCCAUCAGGGAACAAUGGAAGAGCCUUACGGGAAGAGAUCCGUAAGAAAAUUGAGAAGUGGCAAGAGCCUCCUCCUGCAAAGCAACCCAAACCACUUCCAGUGCCUGAUUCUGAGCCUAAAAAGAAGAGAGGUGGUCGUCGACUGAGGAAGAUGAAGGAAAGAUAUGCAAUAACAGACAUGAGGAAACUUGCAAAUAGGAUGCAAUUUGGUGUACCUGAAGAGAGUUCUUUAGGGGAUGGUCUGGGAGAGGGUUAUGGAAUGCUCGGUCAGGCUGGGAGUGGCAAGCUACGUGUAUCAGUUGGUCAGAGCAAACUUGCUGCAAAAGUUGCUAAGAAGUUUAAGGAAAAGAAUUACGGAAGCAGUGGUGCUUCCUCUGGAUUGACAUCAAGUUUAGCAUUUACCCCUGUGCAGGGGAUAGAACUAUCAAAUCCACAGGCUCAUGCACACCAACUUGGCAGUGGAACUCAAAGCACAUACUUUUCUGAGACAGGAACAUUUUCAAAGAUCAAGCGGACCUGAAUCUUCAUGUGUUCAUCUCUUCUUGCCAGGCUUAUUCUGCAAACCUUUGUUUUCAUCUCGCUUGGUCAGUAGUUCCACUUUUGGUGGAGCACAUUCGAGGCAUGAAAUGUUUGGGCACAAUGGUUUCAAUGGUGGAGGUCUUGGUGGUGCUUGGUACUUCCUAAGAUUGGUUCCUCUGUUUGCUGCUUGUGUGGUUGAUGAUGGAAAUAUGUGGCUUGGUAUGGUGGUUUGAUGCGCGAGGAAUCGAUUUCAGGUGGGGGGAGGGUUGACUGUGAGAUUGUAUCUUGCUU